Cricetulus griseus (Chinese hamster) is the source of this 717-nucleotide non-coding RNA. Lineage: Eukaryota; Metazoa; Chordata; Mammalia; Rodentia; Cricetidae. The record is from RefSeq and is a predicted model, not a curated record.
AAAGAAAACAAAAAAACAAAAAAAAAAAAAAAAAAACAAAGAAACAUAGAUAGAUAGAUAGAUAGAUAGAUAGAUAGAUAUCCUAAUGAAAAUGUCUGUUUUCCGAUGGUCUUAGGUGACCACUGUGAAAGGAUUGUUCUACCCCAGGGGGUUUCAACCAACAGGUUGAGAAACACAGAUCUAGAUCAACACUCAACAGCAAGUUGUAGUUCUCAUUAACUUGCUUACUAGUAACCACCAUCAACAAAAGAAGAAACUGAACGAUACCAGCUACUCUAAGGUGUUAUCAUCUGUAGAUUUAGAGAAGCCUUGCUGGGCAGCUGGGACCUGAUGAGGAGGAGCUCAGGGUGCUUCCUGGUGGAGACUAGAUGGUCAACAAGACCCUCAUAAUGAGACGGCCAGAAGUGGAAGGACAGCAUGUGCCCGGGCUUUGGAGUCAGACAGACCUGAUUGACACCACAGCUGUCCAGUCACUAACUACUCACCACCUGCGAGAACUUGAACUAGAAAUUCAGCUAUGGCUCUCUUGCUGAGAGAAUUGCUCAGCAUGAGCUGCAGAGACGAUUCCCCAAGGGUCUCAGCUCCCACCAAAUCCCACUGGAGUGCAUGGAAGAUUUUCAGCUAGAACCUCCUUUUACAGGGGAAGGUGCCACGGAAAGUGGCCUUCAUCCCAUCUGUUAAACCCGAGAAUCAUGGGAAAAAAAAAAAAAAGACCAG